This 301-nucleotide ribosomal RNA is filed under the name uncultured bacterium. RNAcentral describes it as "partial 16S ribosomal RNA". It matches the Rfam family "Bacterial small subunit ribosomal RNA", at positions 509 to 807 of the family's 1533-position model. The record is from RNAcentral.
CAGUAGCCGCGGGAAUACGUAGGGUGCAAGCGUUAAUCGGAAUUACUGGGCGUAAAGCGUGCGCAGGCGGUUCUAUAAGACAGAUGUGAAAUCCCCGGGCUCAACCUGGGAACUGCAUUUGUGACUGUAGAGCUGGAGUGCGGCAGAGGGGGAUGGAAUUCCGCGUGUAGCAGUGAAAUGCGUAGAUAUGCGGAGGAACACCGAUGGCGAAGGCAAUCCCCUGGGCCUGCACUGACGCUCAUGCACGAAAGCGUGGGGAGCAAACAGGAUUAGAUACCCCAGUAGUCCCUGUCUCUUAUAC